Molecule: RNase P RNA, 390 nt
Filed under: Candidatus Cloacimonadota bacterium
Lineage: Bacteria; Pseudomonadati; Candidatus Cloacimonadota
Description: RNase P RNA component class A
Rfam family: Bacterial RNase P class A
About the family: Ribonuclease P (RNase P) is a ubiquitous endoribonuclease, found in archaea, bacteria and eukarya as well as chloroplasts and mitochondria. Its best characterised activity is the generation of mature 5'-ends of tRNAs by cleaving the 5'-leader elements of precursor-tRNAs. Cellular RNase Ps are ribonucleoproteins.
Source: RNAcentral
GGAGAGGGUCAAACAUCUGCUGUCCCAUGCUUGGGAGAGAGGAAAGUCCGAACACCAUAGGGCAGGAUACUUCUUAAUGGGAAGUCUUUGCGAAGGGGAGCCAGCUCCACAGAAACAAACCGCCUUUCGGGGUAAGGGUGAAACGGUAGCUUAAGAGACUACCAGAUCAUGCCGUGAGGUAUGAUGCUCGGAAAGCCUUAUCAGGUGCAAUGCCAAAUAGGGAAGCAGUCUUCGGACCCGGGUCUGCCCGGCUCGGUUUGCUUUCGGGUAGGCAGCUAAAGCCGGCUUUUUAAAGUCUCAUUUGAGAAUAGCAAUAUCCGGCUUAGAGAAAUAGAUGUUAGAUCACUUGUUAGGUGAUUUACAGAAUUCGGCUUAUGACCGUCUCCGACA